RNAcentral lists this non-coding RNA (129 nucleotides) under Palpitomonas bilix. The record is from RNAcentral.
AACAAAAAAAGAGAAAGGAGAAAGCAUAAAAGAGAAGAGAAAAUCCUCAAUCGUACAUUUGUCAACAACCUUCCCCCGUCUUACCAUUUUGGAUUCCUUGGUGUAUUCCCUUAUAUUAUCUCCUUUUUU